ACCAUAGCUCAGUGGGAGAGUGUCUGCUUUUCAUGCAGAAGGUCCCACGUUCAAUCCCCAAGGCAGAUGUG
Podarcis lilfordi (Lilford's wall lizard) is the source of this 71-nucleotide non-coding RNA. The record is from the annotation of a GenBank genome assembly. NCBI's taxonomy places the organism in Eukaryota, Metazoa, Chordata, Lepidosauria, Squamata, Lacertidae.